Molecule: long non-coding RNA, 504 nt
Organism: Lathyrus oleraceus (garden pea)
Lineage: Eukaryota; Viridiplantae; Streptophyta; Magnoliopsida; Fabales; Fabaceae
Exons: 2
Source: RefSeq, a predicted model, not a curated record
UUGUGUGCAUUGCCCUGCUGUAAUGGCUGCCUAAGUAUUGGUUUACGCUAAGGUACAUUUGUUGUUGGAAAUGCAGGUUGUAUGGUUGAUGAUUGUAUGCAAAAUGUUUUCCUAUUGUACUUUGUUGCUAUAUGGUUGCUUAAAAAGUCAGGUUGUCUUUGCAUUGAAUCAAGACCUCAAAACAUGAGCAUCAUUAACAUCUCAUGGCCAAAUGCAAACUAAGACUUCUUGUGAUGGAAGCAAGCUUGGAUGGAAGAUUUAAUGAGGUGAUGCAAUAUGAAGACUCAAGAUCCAUGAAAUUUAGGAUUUAGGUUUAGAGAAAUAGAGGGUUGAAUUUGGUCAAAGUUGACCAAAAAGUCAACUAUUGACCAAAGCCAACUUUUGGUCAAAGUGCCAAUUUUGUAAUUUUUUGUAUGAAUCUUGGUAAACGGUAUUUGUAUGAAUGAAUGAAUAACUUUAAAUGAACAAUAAUCCUUUAUGAUUCAAUGUAAAAUGUUUUGAAUU